RNAcentral lists this ribosomal RNA (459 nucleotides) under uncultured bacterium. Its description in RNAcentral is "partial 16S ribosomal RNA". It matches the Rfam family "Bacterial small subunit ribosomal RNA", at positions 338 to 795 of the family's 1533-position model. The record is from RNAcentral.
CCUACGGGAGGCAGCAGUGAGGAAUAUUGGUCAAUGGUCGGGAGACUGAACCAGCCAAGCCGCGUGAGGGAUGACGGUCCUGAGUGUUGUAAACCUCUUUUGUCGGGGAACAAAGACGGGGACGUGUCCCCGGUUGAGUGUACCUGAAGAAAAAGCAUCGGCUAACUCCGUGCCAGCAGCCGCGGUAAUACGGAGGAUGCGAGCGUUAUCCGGAUUUAUUGGGUUUAAAGGGUGCGCAGGCGGACUGUUAAGUCAGCGGUAAAAUCCAGAGGCUCAACCCCGGCCCGCCGUUGAAACUGGCAGUCUCGAGUGGGAGAGAAGUAUGCGGAAUGCGCGGUGUAGCGGUGAAAUGCAUAGAUAUCGCGCAGAACUCCGAUUGCGAAGGCAGCAUGCCGGCGCCACACUGACGCUGAGGCACGAAAGCGUGGGUAUCGAACAGGAUUAGAUACCCGUGUAGUC